AAUUAGGGAUUGCGAAGUAAAACAAAGGAAACGGAAGGGAAGACUGUAAAGAUGGAAAAAUCAAGAUGAGAAGGUUGAAAAAGACAAGGUGCGAAGCCUGCGAAGAGAAUGUUAUGAGAAAAGAAAGGAUGACAUAUUGUAUUUCUUAUUUAAUGAUAAGGAGCAAGUACAAUUGAUAUAUAUAAUUGUUUAGAGCAAUAUAAAAAAGGAAUAUAAGGAUAAAAAUAUAUGAACAUAAAUGCACAGAUAUGAACAGAGAAUAAAAUAAUUUCAAUAUCCCCAUCAAGCUGCAGCAUAUAUAUCCUUAAUGCUCAGCUUGGACAACAAAGAUUGAAAUUGUGCUGGAUGCAAAGCUUUAGUAUGAAUGUUUGCAAAUUGUGAUGAAGUAGAAAUAGGCAGGAGCU
RNAcentral lists this long non-coding RNA (404 nucleotides) under Vigna radiata. RNAcentral's name for it is "long non-coding RNA (VRAD_LNC018303)". Lineage: Eukaryota; Viridiplantae; Streptophyta; Magnoliopsida; Fabales; Fabaceae. The record is from RNAcentral.